Molecule: long non-coding RNA, 254 nt
Filed under: Elaeis guineensis (African oil palm)
Lineage: Eukaryota; Viridiplantae; Streptophyta; Magnoliopsida; Arecales; Arecaceae
Description: long non-coding RNA (EGUI_LNC055229)
Source: RNAcentral
AGGUGCAUCCAAGGAGAGGUGAAUACUAGAGAGAAUAGAAUAAUGGUGGGCUAUAAAGUGAUGAAACCAAAAGAGAAAGAGAAGAUGAGAAGAGGAGAGGAGAUCGGGGAGGUAAAGAGGAAAAAAAUAUUGAGUGUGGGUAUAAUGUGCAAUAGAAUGGUGGUAUCCUGCAAGAUAACAUAGAUAUAGGGAGAGUAGAGAGUGAGGAAGAGAGAGAGAGAGAAGAGGCAACAAGAGAGUCAAGGGAGGAAGCA